GGGUUGUGAGGUUAAGCGACUAAGCGUACACGGUGGAUGCCCUGGCAGUCAGAGGCGAUGAAGGACGUGCUAAUCUGCGAAAAGCGUCGGUAAGGUGAUAUGAACCGUUACAGCCGGCGAUGUCCGAAUGGGGAAACCCAGUGUGAUUCGUCACACUAUCGUUAACUGAAUACAUAGGUUAACGAGGCGAACCGGGGGAACUGAAACAUCUAAGUACCCCGAGGAAAAGAAAUCAACCGAGAUUCCCCCAGUAGCGGCGAGCGAACGGGGAGCAGCCCAGAGUCUGAAUCAGCUUGUGUGUUAGUGGAACGGUCUGGAAAGUCCGACGGUACAGGGUGAUAGUCCCGUACACCAAAAUGCACAGGCUGUGAACUCGAAGAGUAGGGCGGGACACGUGGUAUCCUGUCUGAAUAUGGGGGGACCAUCCUCCAAGGCUAAAUACUCCUGACUGACCGAUAGUGAACCAGUACCGUGAGGGAAAGGCGAAAAGAACCCCGGCGAGGGGAGUGAAAAAGAACCUGAAACCGUGUACGUACAAGCAGUGGGAGCACCUUCGGGUGUGACUGCGUACCUUUUGUAUAAUGGGUCAGCGACUUAUAUUCUGUAGCAAGGUUAACCGUAUAGGGGAGCCGCAGGGAAACCGAGUCUUAACUGGGCGUUAAGUUGCAGGGUAUAGACCCGAAACCCGGUGAUCUAGCCAUGGGCAGGUUGAAGGUUGGGUAACACUAACUGGAGGACCGAACCGACUAAUGUUGAAAAAUUAGCGGAUGACUUGUGGCUGGGGGUGAAAGGCCAAUCAAACCGGGAGAUAGCUGGUUCUCCCCGAAAGCUAUUUAGGUAGCGCCUCGUGAACUCAUCUUCGGGGUAGAGCACUGUUUCGGCUAGGGGGUCAUCCCGACUUACCAACCCGAUGCAAACUACGAAUACCGAAGAAUGUUAUCACGGGAGACACACGGCGGGUGCUAACGUCCGUCGUGAAGAGGGAAACAACCCAGACCGCCAGCUAAGGUCCCAAAGUCAUGGUUAAGUGGGAAACGAUGUGGGAAGGCACAGACAGCCAGGAUGUUGGCUUAGAAGCAGCCAUCAUUUAAAGAAAGCGUAAUAGCUCACUGGUCGAGUCGGCCUGCGCGGAAGAUGUAACGGGGCUAAACCAUGCACCGAAGCUGCGGCAGCGACACUAUGUGUUGUUGGGUAGGGGAGCGUUCUGUAAGCCUGCGAAGGUGUGCUGUGAGGCAUGCUGGAGGUAUCAGAAGUGCGAAUGCUGACAUAAGUAACGAUAAAGCGGGUGAAAAGCCCGCUCGCCGGAAGACCAAGGGUUCCUGUCCAACGUUAAUCGGGGCAGGGUGAGUCGACCCCUAAGGCGAGGCCGAAAGGCGUAGUCGAUGGGAAACAGGUUAAUAUUCCUGUACUUGGUGUUACUGCGAAGGGGGGACGGAGAAGGCUAUGUUAGCCGGGCGACGGUUGUCCCGGUUUAAGCAUGUAGGCUGGUUAUCCAGGCAAAUCCGGAUAAUCAAGGCUGAGGUGUGAUGACGAGGCACUACGGUGCUGAAGUAACAAAUGCCCUGCUUCCAGGAAAAGCCUCUAAGCAUCAGGUAACAUCAAAUCGUACCCCAAACCGACACAGGUGGUCAGGUAGAGAAUACCAAGGCGCUUGAGAGAACUCGGGUGAAGGAACUAGGCAAAAUGGUGCCGUAACUUCGGGAGAAGGCACGCUGGUGUGUAGGUGAAGCCCCUGCGGGUGGAGCUGAGACCAGUCGAAGAUACCAGCUGGCUGCAACUGUUUAUUAAAAACACAGCACUGUGCAAACACGAAAGUGGACGUAUACGGUGUGACGCCUGCCCGGUGCCGGAAGGUUAAUUGAUGGGGUUAUCCGUAAGGAGAAGCUCUUGAUCGAAGCCCCGGUAAACGGCGGCCGUAACUAUAACGGUCCUAAGGUAGCGAAAUUCCUUGUCGGGUAAGUUCCGACCUGCACGAAUGGCGUAAUGAUGGCCAGGCUGUCUCCACCCGAGACUCAGUGAAAUUGAACUCGCUGUGAAGAUGCAGUGUACCCGCGGCAAGACGGAAAGACCCCGUGAACCUUUACUAUAGCUUGACACUGAACAUUGAGCCUUGAUGUGUAGGAUAGGUGGGAGGCUUUGAAGCGUGGACGCCAGUCUGCGUGGAGCCAACCUUGAAAUACCACCCUUUAAUGUUUGAUGUUCUAACGUUGGCCCCUGACCGGGGUUGCGGACAGUGUCUGGUGGGUAGUUUGACUGGGGCGGUCUCCUCCCAAAGCGUAACGGAGGAGCACGAAGGUUAGCUAAUCCUGGUCGGACAUCAGGAGGUUAGUGCAAUGGCAUAAGCUAGCUUGACUGCGAGCGUGACGGCGCGAGCAGGUGCGAAAGCAGGUCAUAGUGAUCCGGUGGUUCUGAAUGGAAGGGCCAUCGCUCAACGGAUAAAAGGUACUCCGGGGAUAACAGGCUGAUACCGCCCAAGAGUUCAUAUCGACGGCGGUGUUUGGCACCUCGAUGUCGGCUCAUCACAUCCUGGGGCUGAAGUAGGUCCCAAGGGUAUGGCUGUUCGCCAUUUAAAGUGGUACGCGAGCUGGGUUUAGAACGUCGUGAGACAGUUCGGUCCCUAUCUGCCGUGGGCGCUGGAGAAUUGAGGGGGGCUGCUCCUAGUACGAGAGGACCGGAGUGGACGCAUCACUGGUGUUCGGGUUGUCAUGCCAAUGGCACUGCCCGGUAGCUAAAUGCGGAAGAGAUAAGUGCUGAAAGCAUCUAAGCACGAAACUUGCCCCGAGAUGAGUUCUCCCUGAGACUUUAAGUCUCCUGAAGGAACGUUAAAGACGAUGACGUUGAUAGGCCGGGUGUGUAAGCGCAGCGAUGCGUUGAGCUAACCGGUACUAAUGAACCGUGAGGCUUAACCUUACAACGCCGAAG
Molecule: ribosomal RNA, 2922 nt
Filed under: Klebsiella pneumoniae
Lineage: Bacteria; Pseudomonadati; Pseudomonadota; Gammaproteobacteria; Enterobacterales; Enterobacteriaceae
Description: 23S ribosomal RNA
Rfam family: Bacterial large subunit ribosomal RNA
Source: RNAcentral